GCCAUAGCGUAAUGGGUUGAGUGUUGGACUAUGACUCUGAAGACCAGGGUUUGAUUCCCAGCUUGGCC
This is a non-coding RNA of Phrynosoma platyrhinos (Desert horned lizard), 68 nucleotides long. The record is from the annotation of a GenBank genome assembly. Lineage: Eukaryota; Metazoa; Chordata; Lepidosauria; Squamata; Phrynosomatidae.